UACGUAGGUCCCGAGCGUUGUCCGGAUUUACUGGGCGUAAGGGCGUGCAGCCGGGAAGACAAGUCAGAUGUGAAAUCCCGCGGCUCAACCGCGGAACUGCAUUUGAAACUGUUUUUCUUGAGUACCGGAGAGGUCAUCGGAAUUCCUUGUGUAGCGGUGAAAUGCGUAGAUAUAAGGAAGAACACCAGUGGCGAAGGCGGAUGACUGGACGGCAACUGACGGUGAGGCGCGAAAGCGUGGGGAGCAAACAGG
This 252-nucleotide ribosomal RNA is filed under the name uncultured bacterium. Its description in RNAcentral is "partial 16S ribosomal RNA". It matches the Rfam family "Bacterial small subunit ribosomal RNA", at positions 524 to 776 of the family's 1533-position model. The record is from RNAcentral.